CGUCCCUGCAGCCAGCAAAGGAGCGGGCCGCCUCCUGGUUGCCACGUGCGGCAACGGAUGGGGAGCCGGAGGGAGUGAAGACCCCAGGGAAAGGGCCGCUGGGGGAACUGCCGCCCGGGAGGACCCACGUGGAGCAGUGUUCUCUUGGAGGGCUGGAUAAAAAGAUGGCAACAAAAUUGUAUUCUGUUGGUUGAAGCUUUUUAAGAAACCUGCUUCUCAGAAUGUUCAGAGCCACACACUUGUUCAUAGGUGAAGAGAGAGGACUGUUUGUCCUUCUAUUUUUGAGUUGAAACUAUUUAAUUAAAAAGUUCUAAUCUUCAAACGUACCAGUGAUGAUUGUCUGUGUAAAUGUCUUAUUCAGAGAGGAACUGUAAAACGGUGUAUUUCCUUUAUGUUGCUCUUCUUGGGAGUCAAGGAAUAGUAUGGCUUAAUGAGGUACUGUAUGGGUUAUCAAUAGGAUUUUAUGAUGGACUUCAAUAGCUUUACAUCAGAAGCACACUUAAAAGACUUAUGGGGCA
This 518-nucleotide long non-coding RNA is filed under the name Coturnix japonica (Japanese quail). RNAcentral describes it as "lncRNA (ENSCJPG00005009876.1)". Lineage: Eukaryota; Metazoa; Chordata; Aves; Galliformes; Phasianidae. The record is from RNAcentral.